AUGUCACUGACAGAUGCAUUCUGUGGGGAUAAAAUGUCACAAGAUUCAUUUAUUUGCUCAUGCUUACAGAGGGCCUGGUCUGGAAUGUUCCACAUCUGCUUUCACUCUGCCAUGGGCUCCUGGAUCCUCUGCUGUGUGUCCCUUUGUAUCUUGGUAGCAAAGCACACAGAUGCUGGAGUUAUCCAGUCACCCCGCCAUGAGGUGACAGAGAUGGGACAAGAAGUGACUCUGAGAUGUAAACCAAUUUCAGGCCACAACUCCCUUUUCUGGUACAGACAGACCAUGAUGCGGGGACUGGAGUUGCUCAUUUACUUUAACAACAACGUUCCGAUAGAUGAUUCAGGGAUGCCCAAGGAUCGAUUCUCAGCUAAGAUGCCUAAUGCAUCAUUCUCCACUCUGAAGAUCCAGCCCUCAGAACCCAGGGACUCAGCUGUGUACUUCUGUGCCAGCAGUUUAGCCACAGCAAUGCAGAAUCACCCCUUUCCUGUGCAGAAACCCUGAUGUUUCCCCUUCUCCUUCUACCUCCCAGCAGUCCUGACCAAAGUCUCUGCUGUUCCUCCCUCCCCAUGAGAAAAAAGUGGUUUGGGGGUGUG
This is a non-coding RNA of Gorilla gorilla gorilla (western lowland gorilla), 593 nucleotides long. NCBI's taxonomy places the organism in Eukaryota, Metazoa, Chordata, Mammalia, Primates, Hominidae. The record is from the annotation of a RefSeq genome assembly.